RNAcentral lists this ribosomal RNA (114 nucleotides) under Medicago truncatula (barrel medic). The record is from RNAcentral. Lineage: Eukaryota; Viridiplantae; Streptophyta; Magnoliopsida; Fabales; Fabaceae.
AUAUGCAAUCAUAUCAACACUAAUGCAUCGGAUCUCAUCAGAAUAAGUUAAGCGUGCUUAGACGAGAGUGGUACUAGAUGGAUGACCUUCUGAAAAGUCCUUGUGUUGCAUCUC